ACCUGAUCCAGCCAUGCCGCGUGAGUGAAGAAGGCCUUCGGGUUGUAAAGCUCUUUCGGCCGGAACGAAAUCGCUCGGGUGAAUAUCCCGAGUGGAUGACGGUACCGUAAGAAGAAGCACCGGCUAACUACGUGCCAGCAGCCGCGGUAAUACGUAGGGUGCGAGCGUUAAUCGGAAUUACUGGGCGUAAAGCGUGCGCAGGCGGCUUCGCAAGUCAGGUGUGAAAUCCCCGGGCUUAACUUGGGAAUUGCGCUCGAAACUACGGAGCUCGAGUGUGGCAGAGGGAGGUGGAAUUCCACGUGUAGCGGUGAAAUGCGUAGAGAUGUGGAGGAACACCGAUGGCGAAGGCAGCCUCCUGGGCCUACACUGACGCUCAUGCACGAAAGCGUGGGGAGCAAACAGGAUUAGAUACCCUGGUAGUCCACGCCCUAAACUAUGAUGACUAGUUGUUGGGGGAGUUAAAUCCCUUAGUAACGCAGCUAACGCGUGAAGUCAUCCGCCUGGGGAGUACGGUCGCAAGAUUAAAACUCAAAG
Molecule: ribosomal RNA, 534 nt
Filed under: uncultured beta proteobacterium
Lineage: Bacteria; Pseudomonadati; Pseudomonadota; Betaproteobacteria
Description: bacterial SSU rRNA
Rfam family: Bacterial small subunit ribosomal RNA
Source: RNAcentral